UACGAAGGGGGCUAGCGUUACUCGGAUUGACUGGGCGUAAAGGGCGCGUAGGCGGUUUGUACAGUCAGACGUGAAAUUCCUGGGCUCAACCUGGGGGCUGCGUUUGAUACGUGCAGACUUGAGUUCGGAAGAGGGUCGUGGAAUUCCCAGUGUAGAGGUGAAAUUCGUAGAUAUCGGGAGGAACACCGGUGGCGAAGGCGGCGACCUGGUUCGAUACUGACACUGAGGUGCGAAAGCGUGGGGAGCAAACAGG
This 253-nucleotide ribosomal RNA is filed under the name uncultured bacterium. Its description in RNAcentral is "partial 16S ribosomal RNA". It matches the Rfam family "Bacterial small subunit ribosomal RNA", at positions 524 to 776 of the family's 1533-position model. The record is from RNAcentral.